UAUGUGUCACCGCAAGGUUUCUGGUGGCGACACCAGACAUGACAUAGGUGGUUCGCCCUGUGCGGACCACCCCCGGCAACGCCGGAUCGAAUCAACCCGCCGGUGUCGACACCGGC
RNAcentral lists this non-coding RNA (116 nucleotides) under Pseudomonas mosselii. Its description in RNAcentral is "Pseudomon-groES RNA". It matches the Rfam family "Pseudomon-groES RNA". The record is from RNAcentral. Lineage: Bacteria; Pseudomonadati; Pseudomonadota; Gammaproteobacteria; Pseudomonadales; Pseudomonadaceae.